RNAcentral lists this ribosomal RNA (200 nucleotides) under uncultured eukaryote. RNAcentral's name for it is "partial 18S ribosomal RNA". It matches the Rfam family "Eukaryotic small subunit ribosomal RNA", at positions 588 to 797 of the family's 1831-position model. The record is from RNAcentral.
GCUCCAAUAGCGUAUAUUUAAGUUGCUGCAGUUAAAAAGCUCGUAGUCGGUUCGGGCGGGCUGCGCCGGUCUGCCUUUGGUAUGCACUGGCGUGGCCGCUUUUCUGUCGGGGACGUGCUGCUGGGCUUUACUGUCCGGCACACGGAGUCGACGCUGUUACCUUGAGUAAAAUGGAGUGUUCAAAGCAGGCAUACGCUCUG